This 585-nucleotide ribosomal RNA is filed under the name uncultured bacterium. Its description in RNAcentral is "partial 16S ribosomal RNA". It matches the Rfam family "Bacterial small subunit ribosomal RNA", at positions 355 to 1375 of the family's 1533-position model. The record is from RNAcentral.
UGGGGAAUUUUGGACAAUGGGCGAAAGCCUGAUCCAGCAAUGCCGCGUGUGUGAAGAAGGCCUUCGGGUUGUAGAGCACUUUUGUCCGGAAAGAAAUCCUUGGCUCUAAUACAGUCGGGGGAUGACGGUACCGGAAGAAUAAGCACCGGCUAACUACGUGCCAGCAGCCGCGGUAAUACGUAGGGUGCAAGCGUUAAUCGGAAUUACUGGGCGUAAAGCGUGCGCAGGCGGUUUGCUAAGACCGAUGUGAAAUCCCCGGGCUCAACCUGGGAACUGCAUUGGUGACUGGCAGGCUAGAGUAUGGCAGAGGGGGGUAGAAUUCCACGUGUAGCAGUGAAAUGCGUAGAGAUGUGGAGGAAUACCGAUGGCGAAGGCAGCCCCCUGGGCCAAUACUGACGCUCAUGCACGAAAGCGUGGGGAGCAAACAGGAUUAGAUACCCUGGUAGUCCACGCCCUAAACGAUGUCAACUAGUUGUUGGGGAUUCAUUUCCUUAGUAACGUAGCUAACGCGUGAAGUUGACCGCCUGGGGAGUACGGUCGCAAGAUUAAAACUCAAAGGAAUUGACGGGGUCAUAGCUGUUUCCU